CGGAAGGCCUUUCCUAACCACAGAUCUCCUAAUAGAUGAAAAGACUCAUCAAUUACAAAAAUAUGUCAUCAAUCUGGGACAGGUGCAAAGGCACUCUGUGAAUAUGGAAACAAGCGUCUUCCCCUCCCACAUGGGAGGAAAAUUCAGUUUCAGCUCAGCUAGGAAUUUAGUCUUACUAAAGACGUGGGAGGAAGUUCUUCAGCUGAGCAGCUUUCCCCAACGUGGAAGGGACCAUAGCAAGGACACCUGAGUUCUCCAACAGACGUUCAACGCCAAGGGAUUCACAAUUCUGGGAGGUGAUCUCUGAUGAACAUGCCAUCGACUCCGCUGGCACCUACCACGGGGACAGCCACCUGCAGCUGGAGCGCAUCAACGUGUACUACAACGAGG
RNAcentral lists this long non-coding RNA (390 nucleotides) under Pan troglodytes (chimpanzee). Its description in RNAcentral is "long non-coding RNA NONPTRT011780". The record is from RNAcentral. Lineage: Eukaryota; Metazoa; Chordata; Mammalia; Primates; Hominidae.